AAAUUGAAGAGUUUGAUCAUGGCUCAGAUUGAACGCUGGCGGCAGGCCUAACACAUGCAAGUCGAACGGUAACAGGAAGCAGCUUGCUGCUUUGCUGACGAGUGGCGGACGGGUGAGUAAUGUCUGGGAAACUGCCUGAUGGAGGGGGAUAACUACUGGAAACGGUAGCUAAUACCGCAUAACGUCGCAAGACCAAAGAGGGGGACCUUCGGGCCUCUUGCCAUCGGAUGUGCCCAGAUGGGAUUAGCUAGUAGGUGGGGUAAAGGCUCACCUAGGCGACGAUCCCUAGCUGGUCUGAGAGGAUGACCAGCCACACUGGAACUGAGACACGGUCCAG
Molecule: ribosomal RNA, 337 nt
Filed under: Escherichia coli
Lineage: Bacteria; Pseudomonadati; Pseudomonadota; Gammaproteobacteria; Enterobacterales; Enterobacteriaceae
Description: bacterial SSU rRNA
Rfam family: Bacterial small subunit ribosomal RNA
Source: RNAcentral